AACGAACGCUGGCGGCAUGCCUAACACAUGCAAGUCGAACGAGACCUUCGGGUCUAGUGGCGCACGGGUGCGUAACGCGUGGGAACCUGCCCUUAGGUUCGGAAUAACUCCCCGAAAGGGGUGCUAAUACCGGAUAAUGUCUUCGGACCAAAGAUUUAUCGCCUUUGGAUGGGCCCGCGUUGGAUUAGCUAGUUGGUAGGGUAAAAGCCUACCAAGGCGACGAUCCAUAGCUGGUCUGAGAGGAUGAUCAGCCACACUGGGACUGAGACACGGCCCAGACUCCUACGGGAGGCAGCAGUGGGGAAUAUUGAACAAGGGGCAAAAGCCUGAUCCAGCAAUGCCGCGUGAGUGAUGAAGGCCUAAGGGUUGUAAAGCUCUUUUACCCGGGAUGAUAGUGACAGUACCGGGAGAAUAAGCUCCGGCUAACUCCG
This 431-nucleotide ribosomal RNA is filed under the name uncultured bacterium. RNAcentral describes it as "partial 16S ribosomal RNA". It matches the Rfam family "Bacterial small subunit ribosomal RNA", at positions 29 to 505 of the family's 1533-position model. The record is from RNAcentral.